UAGGGAAUCUUCCGCAAUGGCCGAAAGUCUGACGGAGCAACGCCGCGUGAGCGAAGAAGGUCUUCGGAUCGUAAAGCUCUGUUGUUAGGGAAGAACAAGUAUCGGAGGAAAUGCCGGUACCUUGACGGUACCUGAUGAGAAAGCCACGGCUAACUACGUGCCAGCAGCCGCGGUAAUACGUAGGCGGCAAGCGUUGUCCGGAAUUAUUGGGCGUAAAGCGCGCGCAGGCGGUCCUUUAAGUCUGAUGUGAAAUCUUGCGGCUCAACCGCAAGCGGUCAUUGGAAACUGGGGGACUUGAGUGCAGAAGAGGAAAGCGGAAUUCCACGUGUAGCGGUGAAAUGCGUAGAGAUGUGGAGGAACACCAGUGGCGAAGGCGGCUUUCUGGUCUGUAACUGACGCUGAGGCGCGAAAGCGUGGGGAGCAAACAG
This 428-nucleotide ribosomal RNA is filed under the name uncultured bacterium. RNAcentral's name for it is "bacterial SSU rRNA". It matches the Rfam family "Bacterial small subunit ribosomal RNA", at positions 355 to 775 of the family's 1533-position model. The record is from RNAcentral.